AUGCCAAGGGCGUGGAGCAGGGGAUUCACAAGCAGAUGCAUAUCAUCAGCAACCCCUGAGACCUCGUGCAACAUCAAGAUGCUGGUGUCCUGCCUCCAUUUGUUCGCCACGGUCGCUGCCUCAUGUCAGGUAUAUGGCGAGGACACAAAUUUGGGUGUCCAGCUCCUUGCCUGCAUGUGCAAAGAAUUCAGAACCUGCAGAUUAUUUUGUGUAUGUGACUACAAGGUGUUGGAAAUCCAAUCAGACUUGCAGCAGAUGAAGCCAACGCGGACGAUGAUUAACUUCUCUGACCUUAUGGGAUCGGUGGCAGCGAGAUCCGCAAGGAGAACGAGGUGGCGCCGCAAGAUGGCAAGAACGGUGCGGCAGCGGGGUGGGCAAGAAGAUGAGGCUCCAGGUUUGGCUGAUUGCUCGGAUGAUGAGUAUCAUAACCCACACAAGAAAUAUAGAAAAGGUAAAGCGAAGACACAGUCCAUUUGGUUUGUCAUUUUGAAGGCACAGAUAGAAACAAGAACACCAUAUAUGUUCUAUAAGGACAGAGUUCUGCCGUUUCAGUGGUGCCAAGAUAUACCCGGGGAAUGCAUCAGAUUCGUCUAUUCAGACUCUCGAGUCUUCCUUUUUUCCAACUCAAAGUGCAAGCGCUAUUUCCACAACCAUCUUAAGCCUGGUAAGCUUAUAUGGAAUGCCAUGUACAGGAAGCAGCACAAGAACUAUAUUCGUGUUGAGGCUGCAAAGAAGAGGCACCGCGCCAUCAAGAGUCCUUAUGGUCUCGCUGAUCAUCGCCUCUGGACGCGCCAUUGA
This 798-nucleotide ribosomal RNA is filed under the name Triticum aestivum (bread wheat). Its description in RNAcentral is "partial small subunit ribosomal RNA". Lineage: Eukaryota; Viridiplantae; Streptophyta; Magnoliopsida; Poales; Poaceae. The record is from RNAcentral.